RNAcentral lists this ribosomal RNA (468 nucleotides) under uncultured bacterium. RNAcentral describes it as "partial 16S ribosomal RNA". It matches the Rfam family "Bacterial small subunit ribosomal RNA", at positions 28 to 507 of the family's 1533-position model. The record is from RNAcentral.
GACGAACGCUGGCGGCGUGCUUAACACAUGCAAGUCGAACGGAAAGGCCCUGCUUUUGCGGGGUGCUCGAGUGGCGAACGGGUGAGUAACACUUGAGUAACCUGUCCCUGACUUUGGGAUAUCUUCAGGAAACUGGGGCUCAUACCGCAUAGGAUCUCUUGCUGCAUGUUGGGGGUUGGAAAGUUUCGGCGGUUGGUGAUGUACUCGCGGCUUAUCAGCUUGUUGGUGGGGUAGUGGCUUACCAAGGUUUUGACGGGUAGCCGUCCUGAGCGGGUGACCGGCCACAAUGGGACUGAGAUACGGCCCAGACUCGUACGGGAGGCAGCAGUGGAGAAUAUUACAGAAUAGGCGGAAGCCUGAUGCAGCAACGCCGCGUGCGGGAUGACGGCCUUCGGGUUGUAAACCACUUUCGCCUGUGACGAAGCGUGAGUGACGGUAAUGGGUAAAGAAGCACCGGCUAACUACGUG